GACGAACGCUGGCGGCGUGCCUAAUACAUGCAAGUCGAGCGAAGUUUUUCUGGUGCUUGCACCGGAAAAACUUAGCGGCGAACGGGUGAGUAACACGUAAAGAACCUGCCUCAUAGACUGGGACAACUAUUGGAAACGAUAGCUAAUACCGGAUAAUAGCAUUAACUGCAUGGUUGAUGUUUAAAAGUUGGUUUUGCUAACACUAUGAGAUGGCUUUGCGGUGCAUUAGCUAGUUGGUGGGGUAAAGGCCUACCAAGGCGACGAUGCAUAGCCGACCUGAGAGGGUGAUCAGCCACACUGGGACUGAGACACGGCCCAGACUCCUACGGGAGGCAGCAGUAGGGAAUCUUCCGCAAUGGGCGAAAGCCUGACGGAGCAACGCCGCGUGAGUGAAGAAGGAUUUCGGUUCGUAAAGCUCUGUUGUUAGGGAAGAAUGAUUGUGUAGUAACUAUACACAGUAGAGACGGUACCUAACCAGAAAGCCACGGCUAACUACGUG
Molecule: ribosomal RNA, 499 nt
Filed under: uncultured bacterium
Lineage: Bacteria
Description: partial 16S ribosomal RNA
Rfam family: Bacterial small subunit ribosomal RNA
Source: RNAcentral